This 975-nucleotide ribosomal RNA is filed under the name Craterellus tubaeformis. RNAcentral's name for it is "eukaryotic LSU rRNA". The stretch from base 628 to 975 matches the Rfam family "Eukaryotic large subunit ribosomal RNA", at positions 1 to 327 of the family's 3401-position model. Lineage: Eukaryota; Fungi; Basidiomycota; Agaricomycetes; Cantharellales; Hydnaceae. The record is from RNAcentral.
CCUUGGAUUGAGGCUGCACAUGUUUUUCUUGACCCAAGGCGUUGAUGCCUUCCACGUUAAGUGGUGUAAGAGGGGGGAAAGCUCAUGGUGCCAACUUAUGGGCAUUUUUAUCCUCAGCAGAAGUGUGGUCAUUGAGGAUUGGAUUGUGUCAAAGCAGUCCGUAUGAUAUGAUUGAGGGUUGGCACUCAAUGUAUCUCUAAACCAUUUUUAAAUGGCUUAUUUACAACUUUCAGCAAUGGAUCUCUUGGUUCUCGCAUCGAUGAAGAACGCAGUGAAAUGCGAUAACUGGUGUGAAUUGCAUCCAUGUAACUCUAAUUUACGAAUAACACCAAGUGAAUCAUCGAGUCUUUGAACGCAAUUGCGCCCUCUCGGUCGCUUCCAAUUGGGGGUUGACUCAUAGGGGGUACAUCUGUUUGAGGGUCAUUUGUACCUCUCAAAGGAUUGGCUUUAGAGCUAAUUCUUUGGAUUUGGGUCUUGCUGUGGAGUUCUCUCAGCUUACCUUGAAAGCAUUAGCGAGCUUUUUCUGAGUCUUUUUUUCAGAUUGAGGCGUUCUUAACGCGUUUACGUCUCAAAAGAAAGAAAGAACAGAGUCCUAAAGCCUGCUUCUAAUGGCCUCAUUUUUUUCAAUGACCUCAAAUCAGAUGAGACUACCCGCUGAACUUAAGCAUAUCAAUAAGCGGAGGAAAAGAAACUAACAAGGAUUCCCUCAGUAACGGCGAGUGAAGAGGGAAGAGCUCAGUUUUGAAAUCUGGCAGUCAUUCACUGUCCGAGUUGUAAAUUGAAGAGAGUGUCAUCCACACUGGACCAUGUCUAAAUUGUAAUGAUCCACAGUCCUUUGAUGGAGUAUCAGAGAGGGUAAUAAUCCCGUCUUUAACGUGGACUCCCAGUGUUUAUGUGAUGCAUUCUCUCAGAGUCGAGUAGUUUGGGAAUGCUGCUCUAAUGGGAGGUAAACUCCUUCUAAAGCUAAAUAUUGGC